AAGGGCGACACCCGUUCCCAUUCCGAACACGGAAGUUAAGCCUUCUAACGUCGAUGAUACUGCCCCUCAAGGGGCGGGAAAGUAGAAAACCGCCAAGC
This 98-nucleotide ribosomal RNA is filed under the name Treponema sp. Lineage: Bacteria; Pseudomonadati; Spirochaetota; Spirochaetia; Treponematales; Treponemataceae. The record is from RNAcentral.